Molecule: ribosomal RNA, 434 nt
Filed under: uncultured bacterium
Lineage: Bacteria
Description: partial 16S ribosomal RNA
Rfam family: Bacterial small subunit ribosomal RNA
Source: RNAcentral
AGCGAACGCUGGCGGCAGGCCUAACACAUGCCAGUCGAACGAACCUUUCGGGGUUAGUGGCGGACGGGUGAGUAACACGUGGGAACGUGCCUUUAGGUUCGGAAUAACUCAGGGAAACUUGUGCUAAUACCGAAUGUGCCCUUCGGGGGAAAGAUUUAUCGCCUUUAGAGCGGCCCGCGUCUGAUUAGCUAGUUGGUUGAGGUAAUGGCUCACCAAGGCGACGAUCAGUAGCUGGUCUGAGAGGAUGAUCAGCCACAUUGGGACUGAGACACGGCCCAAACUCCUACGGGAGGCAGCAGUGGGGAAUCUUGCGCAAUGGGCGAAAGCCUGACGCAGCCAUGCCGCGUGAAUGAUGAAGGUCUUAGGAUUGUAAAAUUCUUUCACCGGGGAUGAUAAUGACGGUACCCGGAGAAGAAGCCCCGGCUAACUUCGUG